GAUGAAGAACGCAGCGAAACGCGAUAGUUAAUGUGAAUUGCAGAAUUCAGUGAAUCAUCGAGUCUUUGAACGCACAUUGCGCCUUUUGGUAUUCCGAGAGGCACGCCUGUCUGAGCGUCAGUAAAACCCUUCGGUUUGACGAUUUAUUGUCUCGCCGGCGUUGGCGGUUUUUGGGGGUUCGUCCCCCGAUUCCGUUUAAACACUGACACGCGGAGAUUAAGGUGUUAAAGGAUUAACCCCUCAUCGAUUAGUAGAAAUAUUUAUCUUUGAAGAUUAUGACUUUAAAACCCCACCCGCUAUACAAAAAUAGGGAGCUUCUUUUUUGAGCAACCGACCUUGAAUUUUGACCUCAGAUCAGACGAGGAUACCCGCUGAACUUAAGCAUAUCAAUAAGCGGAGGA
Molecule: unclassified non-coding RNA, 401 nt
Filed under: soil metagenome
Description: partial contains 5.8S ribosomal RNA, internal transcribed spacer 2, and large subunit ribosomal RNA
Rfam family: 5.8S ribosomal RNA (bases 1-120)
Source: RNAcentral